AAUUUGGGACAAUGGGGGAAACCCUGAUCCAGCCAUCCCGCGAGUAUGAUGAAGGACUNAGGGUUNUNAAGUACUUUUGGCAGAGNCGAAAAGGUAUCUCCUAAUACGAGAUACUGCUGACGGUAUCUGCAGAAUAAGUACCGGCAAACUACGUUCCAGCAGCCGCGGUAAUACGUAGGGUGCAAGCGUUAAUCGGAAAUACUGGGCGUAAAGCGUGUGUAGGCGGUUCGGAAAGAAGGAUGUUAUAUCCCAGGGCUCAACCUUGGAACUGCAUUUUUAACUGCCGAGCUAGAGUAUGUCAGAGGGGGGUAGAAUUCCACGUGUAGCAGUGAAAUGCGUAGAUAUGUGGAGGAAUACCGAUGGCGAAGGCAGCCCCCUGGGAUAAUACUGACGCUCAGACACGAAAGCGUGGGGAGCAAACA
RNAcentral lists this ribosomal RNA (422 nucleotides) under uncultured bacterium. Its description in RNAcentral is "partial 16S ribosomal RNA". It matches the Rfam family "Bacterial small subunit ribosomal RNA", at positions 360 to 774 of the family's 1533-position model. The record is from RNAcentral.